GACGAACGCUGGCGGCGUGCCUAAUACAUGCAAGUCGAGCGCGGGAAGCAGACUGAAUCCUUCGGGAGGACGUCUGUGGAACGAGCGGCGGACGGGUGAGUAACACGUGGGCAACCUGCCUGUAAGACUGGGAUAACUCCGGGAAACCGGGGCUAAUACCGGAUAACUCAUCGGAUCGCAUGAUCCGAUGUUGAAAGAUGGCUUCUUGCUAUCACUUACAGAUGGGCCCGCGGCGCAUUAGCUAGUUGGUGAGGUAACGGCUCACCAAGGCCACGAUGCGUAGCCGACCUGAGAGGGUGAUCGGCCACACUGGGACUGAGACACGGCCCAGACUCCUACGGGAGGCAGCAGUAGGGAAUCAUCCGCAAUGGACGAAAGUCUGACGGUGCAACGCCGCGUGAGUGAGGAAGGCCUUCGGGUCGUAAAACUCUGUUGUUAGGGAAGAACAAGUUCCGUUCGAAUAGGGCGGAGCCUUGACGGUACCUAACCAGAAAGCCACGGCUAACUACGUGCCAGCAGCCGCGGUAAUACGUAGGUGGCAAGCGUUGUCCGGAAUUAUUGGGCGUAAAGCGCGCGCAGGCGGUUCCUUAAGUCUGAUGUGAAAGCCCACGGCUCAACCGUGGAGGGUCAUUGGAAACUGGGGAACUUGA
This 650-nucleotide ribosomal RNA is filed under the name Filobacillus sp. YIM DKMY57. RNAcentral's name for it is "bacterial SSU rRNA". It matches the Rfam family "Bacterial small subunit ribosomal RNA", at positions 28 to 645 of the family's 1533-position model. Lineage: Bacteria; Bacillati; Bacillota; Bacilli; Caryophanales; Bacillaceae. The record is from RNAcentral.